AAGAUAAAAGAAUAUAAAAUGAGAGACAUACUUUAAUAUAUUCUUGUGUCCUUCUUCGUUUAACAUGUUUCUUUUUGAAAUAUUUAUUUUGCUGAAUCACAGUGUUAUUCUUACUCUUAUUAGGGGGGUGCAGCGGAAUUUUUAGCAUUUUGGGAAAUAGGAUCUAGGCAAUAAUAAUCCGGGAGCCCAUUGGUAUUUACCUAAUCAGAGGAUCCCCAAAAGGACGGAAAAAAAAAUUCACUGGAAAGGUAUUUUUUAAGCUUUUUAAUAAAAAAUCACUAGUGACUCAA
Molecule: non-coding RNA, 290 nt
Filed under: Thalassiothrix antarctica
Lineage: Eukaryota; Bacillariophyta; Fragilariophyceae; Thalassionematales; Thalassionemataceae
Source: RNAcentral